Molecule: ribosomal RNA, 373 nt
Filed under: uncultured bacterium
Lineage: Bacteria
Description: bacterial SSU rRNA
Rfam family: Bacterial small subunit ribosomal RNA
Source: RNAcentral
UAAUACGGAGGGUGCAAGCGUUAUCCGGAUUUACUGGGUUUAAAGGGUGCGUAGGUGGGUAAGUAAGUCAGUGGUGAAAUCUCCGGGCUUAACCCGGAAACUGCCAUUGAUACUAUUUAUCUUGAAUACUUUGGAGGUAAGCGGAAUAUGUCAUGUAGCGGUGAAAUGCUUAGAUAUGACAUAGAACACCAAUUGCGAAGGCAGCUUACUACACAGUGAUUGACACUGAGGCACGAAAGCGUGGGGAUCAAACAGGAUUAGAUACCCUGGUAGUCCACGCCCUAAACGAUGGAUACUCGACAUUAGCGAUACACAGAUAGUGUCUGAGCGAAAGCAUUAAGUAUCCCACCUGGGAAGUACGAUCGCAAGAUUG